Molecule: long non-coding RNA, 387 nt
Organism: Oreochromis aureus
Lineage: Eukaryota; Metazoa; Chordata; Actinopteri; Cichliformes; Cichlidae
Source: Ensembl
CGGCCACCACUUCGUUUUAUAUGUCUUUUAUUCGUGUUUCUAGGUCACAAAAUAAACUUUUAAGAUAUUUUCAGGCGAGAAUGUAGGUGUGUAAACUUCAAAUAUCUGCUCGUUUUAUCAAGACAUCCCAUAUUAGCGACAAUUCUCUUAAGUGUUGCUGAUAGCCGGCUAGCUAGCUAGCGCCGCUAGCUUAGCUAGCUAGCGCCCCUUCGUGAAAAACCACCCAGGCUUGGCUGAUAGUGAGGUGGCUAAAAUUUGUUUAAUCGCCCGAUCGCUCGGCAAGGGUCUGUGUCUUAGCUGGACUUAUUUUUCGUUUAUAUGGGCUGAUGAUGCUGGUCGAUGUGGAAAAAAAUAACUGAGUUGUUUGGUGGUGGAGCUACAACAGAG